RNAcentral lists this ribosomal RNA (487 nucleotides) under uncultured bacterium. Its description in RNAcentral is "bacterial SSU rRNA". It matches the Rfam family "Bacterial small subunit ribosomal RNA", at positions 28 to 511 of the family's 1533-position model. The record is from RNAcentral.
GAUGAACGCUAGCGGCAGGCCUAAUACAUGCAAGUCGAACGGUAGAUCGGGUAGCAAUACUUGAUUGAGAGUGACGUAAGGGUGCGUAACACGUAUGCAAUCUACCCUCAACAGGAGUAUAGCUCGGGGGAAACUCGGAUUAACACUCCAUAACAUUACGAUGUGGCAUCACAUUGUGAUUAAAACUCCGGUGGUUGAGGAUGAGCAUGCGUCUGAUUAGUUAGUUGGAGGUGUAACGGACCCCCAAGACGAUGAUCAGUAGGGGAACUGAGAGGUUGAUCCCCCACACUGGCACUGAGAUACGGGCCAGACUCCUACGGGAGGCAGCAGUAGGGAAUAUUGGUCAAUGGGUGAGAGCCUGAACCAGCCAUGCCGCGUGCAGGAAGACGGCCUUCUGGGUUGUAAACUGCUUUUAUCUGGGGAUAAAAAGCCCAUGCGUGGGACAUUGAAGGUACCAGAUGAAUAAGCACGGCUAACAACGUGCCAG